Mycena vitilis is the source of this 95-nucleotide non-coding RNA. NCBI's taxonomy places the organism in Eukaryota, Fungi, Basidiomycota, Agaricomycetes, Agaricales, Mycenaceae. The record is from the annotation of a GenBank genome assembly.
UCGGACGUAGUGCGCGGCGCACACCCGCCACCGAUUGAAGAUUCAUGCUGAACUUCGUGUAUGCGGGAGACCGGGUUCGAUUCCCGGCGUCUGAA